GUUCAGUUGGUAAAGCACAAGGCUCUUAACCUUGUGGACGUGGAUUCAAGUCCCAU
RNAcentral lists this transfer RNA (56 nucleotides) under Triticum aestivum (bread wheat). It matches the Rfam family "tRNA", at positions 10 to 63 of the family's 71-position model. From Rfam's summary of the family: Transfer RNA (tRNA) molecules are approximately 80 nucleotides in length. Their secondary structure includes four short double-helical elements and three loops (D, anti-codon, and T loops). Further hydrogen bonds mediate the characteristic L-shaped molecular structure. tRNAs have two regions of fundamental functional importance: the anti-codon, which is responsible for specific mRNA codon recognition, and the 3' end, to which the tRNAs corresponding amino acid is attached (by aminoacyl-tRNA synthetases). tRNAs cope with the degeneracy of the genetic code in two manners: having more than one tRNA (with a specific anti-codon) for a particular amino acid; and 'wobble' base-pairing, i.e. permitting non-standard base-pairing at the 3rd anti-codon position. RNAcentral also lists the same sequence under 1 other name. The record is from Rfam by way of RNAcentral. Lineage: Eukaryota; Viridiplantae; Streptophyta; Magnoliopsida; Poales; Poaceae.